AAGAGUUUGAUCAUGGCUCAGAUUGAACGCUGGCGGCAGGCCUAACACAUGCAAGUCGAACGGUAGCACAGAGAGCUUGCUCUCGGGUGACGAGUGGCGGACGGGUGAGUAAUGUCUGGGAAACUGCCUGAUGGAGGGGGAUAACUACUGGAAACGGUAGCUAAUACCGCAUAACGUCGCAAGACCAAAGAGGGGGACCUUCGGGCCUCUUGCCAUCAGAUGUGCCCAGAUGGGAUUAGCUAGUAGGUGGGGUAACGGCUCACCUAGGCGACGAUCCCUAGCUGGUCUGAGAGGAUGACCAGCCACACUGGAACUGAGACACGGUCCAGACUCCUACGGGAGGCAGCAGUG
This 351-nucleotide ribosomal RNA is filed under the name Klebsiella michiganensis. RNAcentral describes it as "bacterial SSU rRNA". It matches the Rfam family "Bacterial small subunit ribosomal RNA", at positions 1 to 356 of the family's 1533-position model. The record is from RNAcentral. Lineage: Bacteria; Pseudomonadati; Pseudomonadota; Gammaproteobacteria; Enterobacterales; Enterobacteriaceae.